Non-coding RNA from Pongo abelii (Sumatran orangutan), 46 nucleotides. NCBI's taxonomy places the organism in Eukaryota, Metazoa, Chordata, Mammalia, Primates, Hominidae. The record is from Rfam.
CCAAUGGCUUUUUUAAAAGUCACAUUUUGAAUAAAAUCCAAGUGAU